UGCCUUUUUUUGGGCUUGUACCCUCUCUGGAACCAACCCAAGAAUGUCGACUUAUCAGUUUCUUCAACAUUGUCUUUGUAACUUCCAAAUACAAUAAUGUUGUCGUCAUGCCGGAUAACUUUCCUGCACCCGCAACAAAUGGAGAACACAAAAUCCUCGCUGGCCUUGACACCCGCUUCAUUGGUAAUUCAGAAGGCGGUUCAGAAGUUGGAGAUUCCUGUGUAUUGAAAAAGAUAAAAUGUUACUUUAUGCGUGUGAUCUGUGUAUUUUGAAACGUGUAUCGUUCGUGACCUACACAUUCAGUGACCGGCAUGCAGCAGAAAGAACAAAAUGGGAAUACCUCUUCCUCAACAUUUGCAGAUGCUGUGACCACAUCAGAUAUGACAGCAUCUACCCGCUUUUGNNN
This 406-nucleotide long non-coding RNA is filed under the name Olea europaea (common olive). RNAcentral's name for it is "long non-coding RNA (OEUR_LNC006673)". The record is from RNAcentral. Lineage: Eukaryota; Viridiplantae; Streptophyta; Magnoliopsida; Lamiales; Oleaceae.